CCUCCAGAUGUUGUUGGAUUACAAUUCCCAUCAGCUUCAGCGACAUGGCCAGUGAUCAGGGAUGCUGGGAAUUGUAGUCCAGCAAGAUCUGGAGGGGAC
Molecule: non-coding RNA, 99 nt
Organism: Podarcis lilfordi (Lilford's wall lizard)
Lineage: Eukaryota; Metazoa; Chordata; Lepidosauria; Squamata; Lacertidae
Source: the annotation of a GenBank genome assembly